AAGUGCUGGGAUUACAGGUGUGAGCCACCGCGCCUGGCCUUAUUGCUGAUUUAGAGCAGUUCACCUACACUGGGGCCAGGGAAGUGGCAAAAGAAGGGGCUGUUGGUGGUGGUUGCUGGGGUUACUGACCCAAUAAUAAUAUUUAAGAUUAUAGUUACUGAUGCCUAUUUCAUGCCAAGCACUGUGCUAGGUACUCUUCAGGCUUCCUGUCAUUGAUUCUUCCCAAUAAGUGCGGGGGACAUUCUCUUCAUUUUACCAAGGAGAUUGAAAAGAUUCAGUAACUUUUCCAGGCCCAUCCAGCUGGGACUCCAACCCAGGUUAUUCAAAGCCCAUGCUUUGAACCUUCAUGCUGGAGAGUUCUGUUGAGAAGGAGGAAUGAGGUCCCCGUGUCUCACAGGGGUUGUCAGUUCUGCAAGAAGUGCUGAGGUGUGGAUUCCUCACAUCUCUGAGGUGAUGUAUGACUCUUCCUGAAGGCCACGCUCCUUCCCUUUGCCACCGGACAGGGUCCGUGGCCUGCUCUGCAACUGCUUUCCCAGCAUGUCCCAGUUUCUUUCCCCAGCCGCCUCCCUCGGGUUCUGUCUGAGACUCUUCGUGGAUGGGGUUGGAGCAACCAGGAGCACUUGGGAAAUGGCACUGCGCUCACCUGAACUAUCACUCUGAGUGUUUCCAGAGCACAUAGCCACUGUUUGUUGGUUCUCAGUUUGUUUUCAGGCAAUGGCAUGUUCAGAUAGCUGAGGAGCUCGAAGGUUGAAGGAAAAGCUGCAGCCUCUGGACCCUGAGAGGCAGUGUCAUGAGAGGACACCAUUCUUUUCACUGGGUCUGCAUGCCCAAAAAAGGGAGUACAGUCACAGAUCGGGGUGAAAGCAUAAGCAGGUAAUACCGUAAGUGGUUAGUCACGCUUGGAACAUGACAUCUCUAUUGAGAAGUUGCCUCGGACAAAGUAUUGAAAUAGGAUAUGGAAUUGGCAGGAAGUUCAAGUGGUUAGGACUCAUUUGAGGUUACUUAAUGGUCCUUUGAUCCUUGUUCUGGGGAAAGCCAGUCAAAGGGGUGAGACUUUUGGGCUUCUCCUGGCCCCACCCAAUGUCCCUGGCUUCAGGCUGUGUCCCUGAGCCCAGCCCGGAGAGAGGCAGUGGUGACUUGUCUCCAAAGAUGCCCUGCCUCCAUCCCAGUGGUAUUCAUGCUGCUCUACAGUUCUGUUCAUUUCUCUUGGGUCUGGGCUGGCUCUGCGCCUUGCCUGUAGCCAAUAAGGUGUGAUGGAAAUGGUGCUCUGUGACUCAGAAGGCCGGGUCAAAGCAGCCUUGCAGUGUCUGCCUUGGUCUUCUGACUGCCUCGGGAGCCCUGAGCUGCUGUGCAGGAGACGCCAGGCGUGGGCGCUCCAGGAGACAGGCCCCACUGAGCCCAGCCUUGCAGCCGUCUUGCCAAACCACUCAACUCAUGAAGGAGGCUAUCCAGGGUCUUCCAUACCGGCCCAUCUGCCAGCCGAGUGCCAUCAGGUGACCUCAGUCAGUGCCACAUGGGGCAGUAGAAUCACCCUGCCCAGCAGUCCCUGAAUGAAAACCUGCCACAAAAGCAUGAGAUAUUGUAAAAUCAUUUUAAGCCACUAAGUUUUGGGACAGCAUGUUACGCAACAAUAGAAAAUAGAGCUGAGGCCCACCGUCCUGCCCUUUCUGCAAGAUGCUAACAUAAGUGGGCUGCCCUCUGAGACCCUUGAACUCUGUUCUUCUCAGGCAGAUCCAGUCUGGACUCUGAGCCCCUCCCCUGUCUAGACUCUUAUUCUAGCAGUACCGUUCUCCACUGCAGCUGACCUCAGCCCAGACGCUGUUCUCAGAGGAAGACCCCACGGACGGUCCAUGCCUUGUUCAGACCCCAUUGCAGGGCAGGACCCACAGCCCUUAGCCAUUGGCUCAAAGUACAUCAUUCAUUCAUUCAAAAGAUAUUGAGACCUUCUGAGUGCCAGGCUCUGUUUUAGGAUCUGAGGAUAUAACCACGAAUGAGAUGAGCCCUCCUGGAACUUACUUUCUAGUGGCAGAGACAGGCAACAAACACGGGAAUAGAAUUUCAAAAUGACGGGUGUGGUGGCUCAUGCCUGUAAUUCCAGAUCUUUCAGAGGCCAAGGUGGGUGGAUCACCUGAGGUCAGGAGUUCGAGACCAGCCUAGCCAACAUGUGUUUCUACUAAAAAAUACAAAAAAAAAUUAGCCAGGUGUGGUGGCAGGCACCUGUAAUCCCAGCUACUUGAGAGGCUGAGGCAAGAGAAUUGCUUGAACCCAAGAGGUGGAGAUUGCAGUAGGUCAAGGAUGCGCCAUUGCACUCCAGCCUGGGAGAGAGUGAGACUCCAUCUCAAAAAAAAAAAAAAAAA
Long non-coding RNA from Macaca fascicularis (crab-eating macaque), 2357 nucleotides. The record is from Ensembl. NCBI's taxonomy places the organism in Eukaryota, Metazoa, Chordata, Mammalia, Primates, Cercopithecidae.